UACGGAGGGUGCGAGCGUUGUCCGGAAUCAUUGGGCGUAAAGGGCGCGUAGGUGGCCUGCUAAGCGUGCGGUGAAAGUCGGGGGCUCAACCCCCGAUCGGCCGUGCGAACUGGGAGGCUUGAGCACUGUAGAGGCAGGCGGAAUUCCGGGUGUAGCGGUGGAAUGCGUAGAGAUCCGGAAGAACACCGGUGGCGAAGGCGGUCUGCUGGGGUCGAACUGGACGCUGAGGCGCGACAGCGUGGGGAGCGAACAGG
This 254-nucleotide ribosomal RNA is filed under the name uncultured bacterium. Its description in RNAcentral is "partial 16S ribosomal RNA". It matches the Rfam family "Bacterial small subunit ribosomal RNA", at positions 524 to 776 of the family's 1533-position model. The record is from RNAcentral.